RNAcentral lists this ribosomal RNA (468 nucleotides) under uncultured bacterium. Its description in RNAcentral is "partial 16S ribosomal RNA". It matches the Rfam family "Bacterial small subunit ribosomal RNA", at positions 28 to 507 of the family's 1533-position model. The record is from RNAcentral.
GACGAACGCUGGCGGCGUGCUUAACACAUGCAAGUCGAACGGAAAGGCCCUGCUUUUGUGGGGUGCUCGAGUUGCGAACGGGUGAGUAACACGUGAGUAACCUGCCCUUGACUUUGGGAUAACUUCAUGAAACUGGGGCUAAUACCGGAUAGGAGCUCCUGCUGCAUGGUGGGGGUUGGAAAGUUUCGGCGGUUGGGGAUGGACUCGCGGCUUAUGAGCUUGUUGGUGGGGUAGUGGCUUACCAUGGCUUUGACGGGUAGCCGGCCUGGGAGGGUGACCGGCCACAUUGGGACUGAGAUGCGGCCCAGACUCCUACGGUACGCAGCAGUGGGGAAUAUUGCACAAUGGGCGGAAGCCUGAUGCAGCAACGCCGCGUGCGGGAUGACGGCAUUCGGGUUGUAAACCGCUUUCGCCUGUGACGAAGCGUGAGUGACGGUAAUGGGUAAAGAAGCACCGGCUAACUACGUG